UCUCUCAUCUCUAUUAUUCCUCAGUUAUUCUUCCCCCACUGACCUCGUGGUGUCGGUACUAAGCAACCGCAUUCCCGCAGUGCCUCACUACCCGAGGCCAGCCGGCCUCACUGCAGCCUGAGUGAGGGUCUGCCACAGUUUCUUCUUCCCUACAAUGUGCCCCUGGAUACCUGGGCCUGGGAAAAUGGAGCAAUGCUGCCUUGUUACCCUUCAUGCAAUUGGGUUUGCCCAGGUUGUGGAAUGGAGGAUCCCACCAGAUGUGGACAGUGUAAAGGAGACCAGAUGCCAUGGGGAACCCACUAUCUGACUUCCCAGGAGUGCACAUCACAUUUCUCAAUGCAGCGUGUGCUUUUGUUUUUGCUUUUUCUCCUUUUUCUCUUGUUCUGCCCAAGUCUGCUCUGCAGUUUCUCCCAUACCCCUUCACCUCUCACUUUUCAAAUAAACUUCUGGCACUGUUUUUGGUUUGUCUUGUGCAAUUCUUUGUUUGAGGCAAG
This 494-nucleotide long non-coding RNA is filed under the name Chinchilla lanigera (long-tailed chinchilla). RNAcentral describes it as "lncRNA (ENSCLAG00000026294.1)". Lineage: Eukaryota; Metazoa; Chordata; Mammalia; Rodentia; Chinchillidae. The record is from RNAcentral.